RNAcentral lists this ribosomal RNA (253 nucleotides) under uncultured bacterium. Its description in RNAcentral is "partial 16S ribosomal RNA". It matches the Rfam family "Bacterial small subunit ribosomal RNA", at positions 524 to 776 of the family's 1533-position model. The record is from RNAcentral.
UACGGAGGGGGCAAGCGUUAUUCGGAAUCAUUGGGCGUAAAGGGCGUGUAGGCGGCCUUGUGUGUCUUAUGUGAAAGCCCUCGGCUCAACCGGGGAACUGCAUGGGAAACUGCGAGGCUUGAGUCCGGGAGAGGAGAGUGGAAUUCCCAGUGUAGCGGUGAAAUGCGUAGAUAUUGGGAGGAACACCAGUGGCGAAGGCGGCUCUCUGGACCGGUACUGACGCUGAAACGCGAAAGCCAGGGGAGCAAACGGG